GAGUUUGAUCGUGGCUCAGAACGAACGCUGGCGGCAUGCCUAACACAUGCAAGUCGAACGCUCCGCAAGGGGAGUGGCGCACGGGUGAGUAACGCGUGGGAACCUGCCGAGGGGUGUGGGAUAACCGGUGGAAACGCCGGCUAAUACCGCAUACGUCCUGUGGGAGAAAGAUUCAUCGCCCUUCGAGGGGCCCGCGUCGGAUUAGCUAGUUGGCGGGGUAACGGCCCACCAAGGCGACGAUCCGUAGCUGGUCUGAGAGGAUGAUCAGCCACACUGGGACUGAGACACGGCCCAGACUCCUACGGGAGGCAGCAGUGGGGGGUAUUGGACAAUGGGGGCAACCCUGAUCCAGCAAUGCCGCGUGAGUGAUGAAGGCCUUAGGGUUGUAAAGCUCUUUCGGCGGGGACGAUGAUGACGGUACCCGCAGAAGAAGCCCCGGCUAACUUCGUGCCAGCAGCCGCCGU
RNAcentral lists this ribosomal RNA (464 nucleotides) under uncultured Alphaproteobacteria bacterium. RNAcentral describes it as "bacterial SSU rRNA". It matches the Rfam family "Bacterial small subunit ribosomal RNA", at positions 9 to 521 of the family's 1533-position model. Lineage: Bacteria; Pseudomonadati; Pseudomonadota; Alphaproteobacteria. The record is from RNAcentral.